GAAGGAUUGUGGGAAGGAUCAGUGAGCGGUAUGCAAAGUGAAUUCAAAGAAAUUAUAAAAAUUGAAUAUUUAUCAAUCUCAGCUGCAGAGAAGAGUGGCAUAAAGUGUAUAGGACUGGAGUGUACUCAGUGUGUUUACUGAGAUGGCACACUGUUUAGCAUGCUAGAGACUGCCAUUUUAAACUAGUAUGCAUCUUCCUCAGAUUUAUCUGAGAUUAUGAAUCUAUUUAGGACUAUUGUGUUUUGACUGCUCUGGUUGGCUUAUAUAUUUUAUUAUCUCUUCACAUAGAAUUGUUGAUUUCAAAGAUAGCAGUGAGGGUCUAAUGGAAAUCUGCCAUGCAGACCAUCUAAGUCACUUACUCUUCAAUCUUGCUUCAAUUUAACGAGCAUCAGUCAAGCCAAGAUCUCAGCUAUCAGUAGCUUUUCUUUAAGGGGCAGGCCCUGAGGAGCAUCCUUCCCGGAGUCUGCACAGUAUUGGGAAGUUCCUGUCUCCAGCUUCCUGCCCGGACUUCCCUGGAUGGUACCUUCCCUGCAAGCUCCAAAAAGAAGUAAAUCCUUUCUUCCACAAGAUAGAGCUUUGGUCAUGGUGAUUUAUCACAGGAGUGCAGACCCUAGAUUCCAGAUAAGUGUAAUCCUCUUGCCUCAUCGAUUUUCUUUCUCUUGGCAACAGACAGAGAUCAUUCCAGAAAACAACAAGCCUUCGAACUGCAGAGUUGCCGAGCCCAGGCACAAUGGAGAUCUCCAACACAGCUGCAUCUAAGGCUCAGGGAAUAUUUUGGAAGAGGGGUCAGAAGCAGUCUAAGAACUAGAGGAUCAAGGAAUGAGAUGCAAUGCUGUGUCUCCUAAGACUGCCAGAAGCAACCUGCAAAGUCUCAGCAACACGACUGCCCAAACAUGAGCUGGACAAGGAAGAGUAGACAUGCCAGAUAUGGGCAGAGGGAAAGCCCAUAGGGCCUCAACCUUAUCUCCAAAGAACAAGGGCAAACUAAGGAGGGCUGAGAGCUAGAGAGAUAGGCUUCCCCAGGAAGGAGCACAACAGUUGUUUAUCUCCUACCAGAGGCUAGUCCUGGAAACACGCAUCCAGGUCACACCAUGAAGCUUGAGCUGAUUAUAUGUAGAAAUCUAUAUGCAUGUACAUGAAUACAUUGGUAGAGGAAAUAACAAUUGAUGAAGAACGGGGUUAUUUGAAAGAGAGCAAGGAAGGGUAUAUGUGAGUCUUUGGGGUAGAAGAGGAACUAGAUAACAGAUGUAGUAAUAAUCACAAAAAAGAAAAGAAAUCUUUUAGUUGCCCUCUGAAUUUAGCAAGAUUCUGUAUGGCUGUUGGCUAUGUCCUGAGUUUUGGUUGACCCCUUUCCACAACCCCAUCACCCCAAGCACCAUCCCUCUGUAAGGCUUUCUAUGCCCGGUAUCCUAGAAAGUCCAUGUUCACAUCUCAUGCGUCUUACAGUCCCCCACCUCUGGACCUCCUCUGGAAGCUCCUUUCUCCCUCCAUGACUUCUACAGACACUGACUCCUAUUCAAACAUAGAAAGGUAGAACUAUGCAGCUGGUGCCCACAUGUGAGAGCACAUAGGUGGCUUCUGUGGCUGUUUGACCAAGAUAAGAAAAAGGAACAUAGGAGAGGAGCAGCCAUCCUCAUUGACAAAUAGUCCUGGGGAGAACUGGAUAUACACAUGCAGAAGGCUAAAACCAGACCCCUAACUUUAGACUGAAGAAAAUUGGUUCUAAAAGGAGGUAAGACCUGAAAUGCUGAGGGUCUCAGGAAAAUGCAGGGAUCAUUUCUCAAGAGAAGCAGAUAGACAAGAUUCUUGUUUUCUUCUGUAAGACCCCCUUUCGGGGACCCCCACUCUAGUCUCGGGAGUGAGAGAGCACCCAAAGAAACACGAGAAUCCAUUGCCGUAAUCACAUGAGGCAGUUUAAAGACUGAGCUCCGGACCGACAUGCAUCUCACACAGGAGAUAACGGAUGUCCAUCACAAGGCUUGAAAGCUAGGGGUUUUUAUGGGGUGAGGAGCUUAGGGGUGUGGAAUUCAGCAUAGCAACACACUAGACACACUAUUGGCUUAUUCAAACAUUAACAGAAAGAUUACAUGUCAGCAAAAGGGCAUCGGGACUUUGUUCCUGUGGGCUGGGGGUUUAUCUUGUUCACAUAGCAACCAGUUGAUGUAUGACUUUACCCGGCAUCAAGGAGCAGUAGACAGAGGGGAGGUUCCGGCCAGGUGGGGUUGACCCAGACAAGAUAGCCCUGCUUGUCCUUGUAUUUUUUCAUUUUUACAGUCAAGCUGUUCUUAGGAACGUCUUAACAACAGCCCUGUCUGUUCUGCUUUGUUCUCCGCCCCAGGCCGUGGGCUCAUAGACAACUCUUUAACAUGAAUCACACGUUACAAAAUCUCAUUUUCCUUCACUUCAAAGGUUCAACAACUCCGGAAAUGGUCUCCGUACUUGUCAGGUGGGGUCCUCAUGAAUUACCAACUUCCUUCACCAUAAACAGGAAUAAAUUGGCAGAGUGAAGAGACAAAAUCCAAAAGGGGUGAACAAAAAACCUUGUUACACAAGUCAUCAUACAGAAACUUAAUGAAAUAUAUAGAUAAUUCAGACAAGUACAGUAGAACCAAACGACUCAGACGUGAGUAAACAAAACACAUUUCUCCUGGGGCAUAAGAUAUGGAGUGCACAUAAACAGGAGGGAGACUGAUGAGGUGGAAUAGGUAGGGGGGGAGAGAAUUUGUGUGAGAGUCAAAGGGAGUACAUGAGGCCUGGAAAUGGGUAAGGUCUGCUUUGUAUUUGAAAGUGAAGUGCAUCAGACCCACUGACGUUAGCAACCUGUGUGGACUGCUUACAAGUGGGUGCAUCGGGCUGGAGACAUGGCUCAGAGGUUAAGAGCACUCUCUUCUAUGACAUUGGACCAGGUUCUGAUCCCAGUACCACGUGAGCACAGCUCACAACCAUCUAUAACUCCAGUUCCAAAGGAUCUGACUUCCUCUUCGGGCCGCCAAUGCCACAGGCACUCUUGAAAUGCACAUGCAUGCAUGCAGGCAGGCAGGCAAAGAGUUAUACACACAAAAAUAAAACUGAGUCCGUCAUUUAACAGU
Molecule: long non-coding RNA, 3089 nt
Filed under: Mus musculus (house mouse)
Lineage: Eukaryota; Metazoa; Chordata; Mammalia; Rodentia; Muridae
Source: RNAcentral